Gadus morhua (Atlantic cod) is the source of this 354-nucleotide long non-coding RNA. RefSeq lists it as uncharacterized. Lineage: Eukaryota; Metazoa; Chordata; Actinopteri; Gadiformes; Gadidae. The transcript has 2 exons. The record is from RefSeq and is a predicted model, not a curated record.
UAGUCAACCAGGAUGCAGAACAAUCCCACACAAUCAAUGCAGCUGAACCAACCCAAGCCCUUACAAACCAUCAAAACCUGUUACAGAGUCCCGGGGAUGACCUGACAUUAUCCCAGCUAUUCUCGGAAACCUUUCAUACACCUGCCACAUCCAGAAGCAACACGGAGGACAUGGUCUCCCUUCAGCGUCAGCUUUUGGAGGAAGUUAAAAUGCUGAGGCAUACUCCGGAGCAACUCCUGCAGGUGGAGAGGGAAAAGCUGCUCGUCGAGAGGGAGAAGCUUCACCUUGCCCAAGCCAAGUUUGAUUUAAAAAAAAAUGAAUGUUGAACCUAGAAUAAAAUAGCAAUCACUCAGA